RNAcentral lists this unclassified non-coding RNA (572 nucleotides) under Hevea brasiliensis (rubber tree). The record is from RNAcentral. Lineage: Eukaryota; Viridiplantae; Streptophyta; Magnoliopsida; Malpighiales; Euphorbiaceae.
CGGCCAUUCUCUACUCAGUUCCCGCAAUAUCUGAUUCACCUUAAAGAUAGAAAAGUUAGUUCUUCCUAGUACAAUGCUCUCACGAUAUGUAUACAUUGGGUUCUUUCCAGAAGGGCAACUAAAAACUCCAGUUCCAUGUUCGCAAAACCCAAAAGACCAUUCAUCAUCUCCAUACACCUGCACAGCGCUGUGGAAGAUGCCACCAAAGCCAAUACCGUCCUUGAAAAUCUUGUUGAUCUGCAUAAUGGUGUUGUUGGUCUUCUCCGAUCCACUAUUCGUCACAUCGUAUAUAUGCAAUAUCACAUCCGUCAUCUUUAUCAACAAAGCUCUAACCCUAACCCUAACUUCAAACUUCCUAUCCCCUCUCUCUCGGCCCUCUUUAUAAUAUCCGAUUCACACAGAAACUUGUCACAGUCUUUCCUCUUUCUGUCUCCUUCGCUUUUAAAUCUCUCCCUCUCCUCCCUCUCUCUCUCCGUUCAAUUAGAGGAACAGAGAAUUUCCACAUUCAAUUUUCGCUCUCACUGAGAUUUAAUUUGAAUACGACACUUUUUCUGUUUUUGCCUGGAAGUGAA